CUUCUUCGAUUUGCUGCGGACAGAUGAAAUGUAUGUGGGCGUCGAUGCCGCCGGCGGUGGCGAUCAUACCUUCGCCAGCGAUAACUUCCGUGCCGGGACCGAUAAUGAUGUCGAUGUUGUCCUGUAUGUCCGGGUUGCCGGCUUUGCCGAUGGCGGCGAUGCGACCCUGCUUGAGCCCGAUAUCCGCCUUGACGACGCCCCAGUGGUCGAGGAUCAAGGCAUUGGUGAUGACGGUGUCCACCGCUUCUGUAUUAGGGCGUUGCGACUGCCCCAUGCCAUCGCGGAUG
RNAcentral lists this small RNA (287 nucleotides) under Hahella chejuensis KCTC 2396. RNAcentral's name for it is "5' ureB small RNA". It matches the Rfam family "5' ureB small RNA". Lineage: Bacteria; Pseudomonadati; Pseudomonadota; Gammaproteobacteria; Oceanospirillales; Hahellaceae. The record is from Rfam by way of RNAcentral.